Molecule: non-coding RNA, 889 nt
Organism: Meleagris gallopavo (turkey)
Lineage: Eukaryota; Metazoa; Chordata; Aves; Galliformes; Phasianidae
Source: RefSeq, a predicted model, not a curated record
UGCAGAAGCACAGCUGCAGAAGGCCGCUAACACAGACUUCUAAGAGUCAAACAGAACAAGGAUCUCAGCCCUAGUAUUUACUUUUAAGGAGUGAAGCGUGUUGGCUUUUCACAUAUACUACUUCCAGUUACUGCAGUUCUGGUUCUCCAGCACAGCAAUUUGAGGUCGCACAAGAGCUUCUGAAGGCUGCUGGUGGAAAGCAGUAUCUUCUAGGAUACAAGAACAGGUCAAAAGUUACACAGGAACAGAAGAAUCAGACCAGUAUUUGUGGCAUCAUUUUAGAAUAGGUAUUCAAGUGUUCCACAGAUACAGUGACACUGCAUCAGAAGCAGUAAGGGUGGGAACAAGCAGGUUCCUGCAGCGUCCCAUAUGCAUUAUUCAAUUUCUAUGAAUCAAGCUGUAAGAAGAAAACGGGGAAAGCAUGCUUUCUGGUUCAGCCUGAGCGAGGGAUACAUUCAUUUGGUCUUCAUGAACCUCCUCCUGGUAGGCUUUGUGCAGGCAGGGCACAACAGCCAGAAGAACAGAGGCAAAUAAAAAACUGUUUUAUUCUUAAAACGAAUCUAUAAAUAAAAAUCUAGACGUACAGCAUGCAAUGUUUCGGACCAGUUCUGUUUGCCAUCAAGUAGCUGCUGCGAGGGGAUGCUUACCCAUGUGCAAACGGCCCAAAGGCCAAAAGCGUCUGCAGCUGACAGGAGUCGGCAGGCAUCUGGCAGACUGCUGACUGCAGAACGGGGCACGUGCUGUGCCAUUUGAAAUCUGCACCGCAAAAUCUGCUUUUAUUUUUCCUGGUACUUAAAACCAGUGCACCUUGGAAAUGGGUGAGAAAAGGGAGAAGCACAUACAAACUUUCUGGGGUUAUUACUUCAUUUUUACAGGUGUAGGACACCGC